GCAGCUAGUAAUAUACCGCUCUGGGCACUAAAAUUAAUAGAUUUAAACCUACGUCGCAUGGCGGUAGCUGAAAUAUUCAGGGGAUCUUAUGCCAUAAUUGAUAACCACCGAGAACAUCGACAAUAAAUUAAAUUUUACGUACCGUCGUCGUCAGAUAAGCUAAGAUAGCUUAUCAAAACAUAGAAGAAUAGAAAAUGACAGAUCAAGGUGUAGACUACUUUGUUGCGGCCACGAGAUACUAUGAUAGCUAUUCUCUUAUGAAGGUUUUAACAUCUUAAAGUGAAGGACUUGAAAGUAAUAUGUAUUAUAAAUACUGUAUGAAUUCUCUUCAUCUGUGCACAA
Molecule: ribosomal RNA, 342 nt
Filed under: Lindholmia nordmanni
Lineage: Eukaryota; Metazoa; Mollusca; Gastropoda; Stylommatophora; Helicidae
Description: Helix nordmanni partial 12S ribosomal RNA
Source: RNAcentral